RNAcentral lists this ribosomal RNA (771 nucleotides) under uncultured Microbacterium sp. Its description in RNAcentral is "bacterial SSU rRNA". It matches the Rfam family "Bacterial small subunit ribosomal RNA", at positions 87 to 870 of the family's 1533-position model. Lineage: Bacteria; Bacillati; Actinomycetota; Actinomycetes; Micrococcales; Microbacteriaceae. The record is from RNAcentral.
GUGGAUCAGUGGCGAACGGGUGAGUAACACGUGAGCAAUCUGCCCCUGACUCUGGGAUAAGCGCUGGAAACGGCGUCUAAUACUGGAUACGAACAGCGACCGCAUGGUCAGUUGUUGGAAAGAAUUUCGGUCAGGGAUGAGCUCGCGGCCUAUCAGCUUGUUGGUGAGGUAAUGGCUCACCAAGGCGUCGACGGGUAGCCGGCCUGAGAGGGUGACCGGCCACACUGGGACUGAGACACGGCCCAGACUCCUACGGGAGGCAGCAGUGGGGAAUAUUGCACAAUGGGCGCAAGCCUGAUGCAGCAACGCCGCGUGAGGGACGACGGCCUUCGGGUUGUAAACCUCUUUUAGCAGGGAAGAAGCGAAAGUGACGGUACCUGCAGAAAAAGCGCCGGCUAACUACGUGCCAGCAGCCGCGGUAAUACGUAGGGCGCAAGCGUUAUCCGGAAUUAUUGGGCGUAAAGAGCUCGUAGGCGGUUUGUCGCGUCUGCUGUGAAAUCCCGAGGCUCAACCUCGGGUCUGCAGUGGGUACGGGCAGACUAGAGUGCGGUAGGGGAGAUUGGAAUUCCUGGUGUAGCGGUGGAAUGCGCAGAUAUCAGGAGGAACACCGAUGGCGAAGGCAGAUCUCUGGGCCGUAACUGACGCUGAGGAGCGAAAGGGUGGGGAGCAAACAGGCUUAGAUACCCUGGUAGUCCACCCCGUAAACGUUGGGAACUAGUUGUGGGGUCCAUUCCACGGAUUCCGUGACGCAGCUAACGCAUUAAGUUCCCC